RNAcentral lists this ribosomal RNA (764 nucleotides) under uncultured Alphaproteobacteria bacterium. Its description in RNAcentral is "bacterial SSU rRNA". It matches the Rfam family "Bacterial small subunit ribosomal RNA", at positions 97 to 914 of the family's 1533-position model. Lineage: Bacteria; Pseudomonadati; Pseudomonadota; Alphaproteobacteria. The record is from RNAcentral.
GGCAGACGGGUGAGUAACACGUGGGAACCUUCCCUAUAGUACGGAAUAUACCAGGGAAACUUGGAGCAAUACCGUAUACGCCCGAGAGGGGAAAGAUUUAUCGCUAUAGGAUGGGCCCACGUAGGACUAGCUAGUUGGUGAGGUAACGGCUCACCAAGGCGACGAUCCUUAGCUGGUUUGAGAGAACGACCAGCCACACUGGGACUGCGACACGGCCCAGACUCCUACGGGAGGCAGCAGUGGGGAAUAUUGGACAAUGGGCGCAAGCCUGAUCCAGCCAUGCCGCGUGAGUGAUGAAGGCCUUAGGGUUGUAAAGCUCUUUUGGCGGAUACGAUAAUGACGGUACCCGCAGAAUAAGUCCCGGCUAACUUCGUGCCAGCAGCCGCGGUAAUACGAAGGGGACUAGCGUUGUUCGGAAUCACUGGGCGUAAAGCGCACGUAGGCGGAUUUGUUAGUCAGGGGUGAAAUCCCGGGGCUCAACCUCGGAACUGCCUCUGAUACUGCAAGUCUCGAGUCCGAUAGAGGUGGGUGGAAUUCCUAGUGUAAGGUGAAAUUCCUAGAUGUUAGGAAGAACUCGGUGGCGAAGGCGGCCCACUGCAUCUUUCUGACGCUUACGUGCCAACCAUGGGGAGCAACAGGAUUCAUCCCUGGUAGACACGCCCUCACGAUGGAGCUAGCCGUUGCACCUUGCUUCUGGUGGCUCCCUACACAUUAACAUCCCCCUGGGGAGUACGCCGCAGGAUUACACUCAAUGAGUGAUCGAC